Molecule: long non-coding RNA, 675 nt
Organism: Salarias fasciatus (jewelled blenny)
Lineage: Eukaryota; Metazoa; Chordata; Actinopteri; Blenniiformes; Blenniidae
Exons: 15
Source: RefSeq, a predicted model, not a curated record
CUCUUCCACUUCCUCCUUCUCUCUGACGAUGGCCAGAGGCUCCAAAAUGGACACGUGCGAAGAUGUGAAGAGACUUCCUCCAUGAGAUGGUGAAACAACUCGAUGGAAUUAAAUUGUUCCUGCAGGUUGUCAUUCAUCGUCCGCCCGGUCAUCUUCAAGCAGCAUGUGCGUGUCGGAGUUGAUUGGAUCUGAAGUUUCAGGAUGGAGCCAUGCCACUCUGACAAUGGCUGAUGACGGAAUGAUGGAGACGAAGAUGUGAAUUAAAUCCUCACGGAGAUUCAGCCUCUCGAGGAGAUGCCAUGAAGGGGUCUAGUGGAGGAUGUGGCUCGUAGGAGAUGCUUGGGUCUUUGGAACUCCCUUAACCAAGGUCUGCAUGAGGAAACCAGGGAGACGGCAUGGGAGUAGCUGCCCCCACACACGAGGCACAACAGACGCUGUCGGCAGCAAGAGAGUAGCAGUUCACGCUUGCAGGGCCUACUCUGCGUGGAGGACUCGCGCCGGCUCCUCUCUCUGGUGCAGAAACUGAAGCAUCAUCUACUGGUUCUUGGCGGCUCAUGAAAUCUUCCUGCAGGGUUCAGUUGAUCUCGAUCACAGAAGACUGAACAUCAAUGGAGAAAUGUUAAUUUGUUCUGUUCAGAGAUAAGAACUUCAAAUAAAAGUUUUCCUCUGAUUUCA